This 466-nucleotide ribosomal RNA is filed under the name uncultured bacterium. Its description in RNAcentral is "bacterial SSU rRNA". It matches the Rfam family "Bacterial small subunit ribosomal RNA", at positions 338 to 795 of the family's 1533-position model. The record is from RNAcentral.
CCUGCGGGUGGCACCAGUAGGGAAUCUUCCGCAAUGGACGGAAGUCUGACGGAGCAACGCCGCGUGAGUGAUGAAGGCUUUCGGGUUGUAAAACUCUGUUGUUAGGGAAGAACAAGUGCUAGUGGAAUAAGCUGGCACCUUGACGGUACCUAACCAGAAAGCCACGGCUAACUACGUGCCAGCAGCCGCGGUAAUACGUAGGUGGCAAGCGUUAUCCGGAAUUAUUGGGCGUAAAGCGCGCGCAGGUGGUUUCUUAAGUCUGAUGUGAAAGCCCACGGCUCAACCGUGGAGGGUCAUUGGAAACUGGGGGACUUGAGUGCAGAAGAGGAAAGUGGAAUUCCAUGUGUAGCGGUGAAAUGCGUAGAGAUAUGGAGGAACACCAGUGGCGAAGGCGACUUUCUGGUCUGUAACUGACACUGAGGCGCGAAAGCGUGGGGAGCAAACAGGAUUAGAUACCCUCGUAGUC